Molecule: long non-coding RNA, 409 nt
Organism: Tachysurus fulvidraco (yellow catfish)
Lineage: Eukaryota; Metazoa; Chordata; Actinopteri; Siluriformes; Bagridae
Exons: 2
Source: RefSeq, a predicted model, not a curated record
AGAGAGAGAGAGAGAGAGAGAGAGAGAGAUUGACUGGGUAAGGUUUUAUGCUGUGAGACUCCUGAUUGUUUACCGGAGAGUGCAUUUGAGCAUGCAUGGCACUGUUACAUCCAUUAACAAACAUGAGAUUCAAUUCUGUUCAAGUCAUUUUCUCUGAGUGAGAUUUAAUGUCUGUAAAUUUGUCCAGAAAACAAUAGUACAGCAUUUCUUCUUUUUCUUCUUCUUGACAUGUUGUAACGUAUACAAUGUGAUAUUUGCAUUUCCACUGCCUCCAUCUUUUCCUCCAUCGUGUGAUCACAUGUAAUGAACACAGAACAUGUUCAUCAGGUUAUCACCUCUUUUUAAUGUCUGUGCAAUGUUCUAGCUCAUGUCUGCUUAGUGUCAAGGUUUUCCACUAAGGAAAUGGUCC